This is a long non-coding RNA of Mercenaria mercenaria, 2615 nucleotides long. RefSeq lists it as uncharacterized. The transcript is spliced from 3 exons. The record is from RefSeq and is a predicted model, not a curated record. Lineage: Eukaryota; Metazoa; Mollusca; Bivalvia; Venerida; Veneridae.
UGCAAUUUCUGUCUGGUGACUACUCUCUUGGCUUGCCAGUAUUGCUGAUUCAAAACGUUUUGUGACAGGAUGAUUGGAGGCCCCAAUAUUGAUAGUGGGAAUUUAGAAAAUCUUUUUAUUUUUGCAUGUUUGAGCCUUGCUGAGUGAAAAAUAAGAUCUUUUAUUAAACAAUGGAUUCUUACUGUGAUAACUUUAAAAGUAUUCUGUGGUAUAUUAAUGAAACCUUUCACAUUAUAAAUUAAUUUGAUAUUCAGAUUGAUUUUAAGUGUAUCUUCUUUCAGAUAAUAUAGCUUGUUUCUUACAUGGUUCAUUCCACUACAGCUUGGACUAUGCUCAACAUGUUCAUAUACCCAGCUACAGCCAGGAAGUUUGUCCAGUUUACUUUAAGACCCCAAGUAAAUGUAACAUAUUUGGGAUGUGUUGUAAGGGAUCAGGAAAACAAGUGUUUUAUCUUGUUGAUGAAAGCAACUCGGUUGGUAAAGGGGAAGACAACUUGUGAGCAUGGUACACCACUACCUGUAUUGGUGUUCCAUUUGGACAAUGCUGCUGGCCAGAAUAGAUACAAUAACUUGCUGUGGUAUUGUCUGUGGAGAAUUUACUAGGAUAUCACAGUUCAGUUGGUUGAAUUUUCAAAAAUGAUAGCAGGCCAUACUAAACUUGACCCUAAGUGGCACUUUGGAUUUUGAGAGAAUUGAUGAAGGAGGGUGAAUGCUUAGACCUUACAUGAUAUUGCAGACAGUGGAUCAGUCAUUGAAGGUCAUAAACAUUGCACACUGGUCAACAAUGAUUCAAAACCUGUCACAUUCUACCAGUGGAGAAAUUUCUUAUCACAUUGUUUUAAACCUUCAACAUGUUCAAAGAACAUUACCAAGUAUCAUUACUUUAUCAUGUCUGCAAAAACACUUGGAAUUGUUAGUGUUAAAAAUCUUAAGUGACAGUCCAGUUGUGACAGUCAGCAUACUAAAAUCUACUCCUCCUUAUGGAUGCAAUGCCGAACGAGUACUAUUUACAUGGAAUAACAAAAGCCGGACAAUGGUACCUAUAUUAAGGGGACGCAUAUUGCUACAUUCACAGUUCAUACAGAAAUGAGGAAGGGGUGCAUAUUCAAGAAAUCGAUGGUGGGAAGAUAAAAAACAUAUUCCUAAACUGAUAUAAUACUGAUGGACACCUGUAAUAUUCAGUACUUUGUGGAUAAGGAUGUGGUACUAUGAAUGUAAUAGGAAAACGGAGGUCUUUGUGAAAGUACAUUCAACACAAAAUAUUAAGCAUUUGUAUAAGGAAAAAACAGGUUUUUUACAAUAACAGUGUUACAAAUAAUGUUGAAGGGAUGAAAUUUUCUUUCUAACACACCAGGUUUGCUUAAACAUGUAAAAAUUUAACGCCACGUCAUUUCAGCUCGGGAUGGACGCCAUAUUUCUCAUUGAUAAAAAAUGUAAACAAAAAAAUCAGAGUGGGAUUAGCAUUGCAAGGGCAUAACAUGACAUUCUACACAAUGAAUACCUUAGAACAGAUAUCUAAGAUGCUACACAGGUCAGGCGGGUUAAAUACAUAAUGUCGAUCACUUGAAAUUCAUCUUGAAAAGGUGGUUAUUUUUAGUUUAUUUACAUGUUUUUUAAUUUUCCCACGAAUUCUUGGCGAUUCACUACAAAAAGUAUUACUGCGCCGGACGAAAGGUAACCCUAAUAAACAACGGGAGACAACUUAGGUGUCAGCACGUGUAUGAUUUUUAAAAAAACAUGUCGAUGAUUACAAUUUCUUAUCAAAUAAUGAAUCCUAUUCAGAUAUUCGUCUUUAAUAUUAGAAAAUUAUUAAUUUCUGUGGACAUUUAUCAAAAAAUAUUACCUACAGUGGACUACUUUGCGCAUCAAACUGGUUUACGCUUCAGUUGUGAGGCUUUUCCGUUAUACUUUUUGACAACAAUAACAAAACACAAAAUGAAUCAAUAAAGUCACUUAUAAACCGACUGCUACUUACAUCAGUGUAAGUAUAGUUGUUGUUACAACAUUAUACUUGUUCAUUACGUUAUGAGAUAAAGUUUAUCUUGAACUGCAUAAUCCAUUAAUUACGUUUAGAUGAUAUUGCAUUUACAACUUAUCUGACCCCGUUUUUUUACGUGAAUGACAGCAUUCUCGUGCAACUCGUGCAAACAGAGUUAUGAAAAGUAUGGUGGAGAAUUCAAGGACAAAUUAUAAAUGACAUUAAAGUGAGGAUAACUGUAUAUUCCUCCAAUUUUGAUCAUUGACAUUCCAGCUGUGUAUUAGUAAGUUUUGUGAACAAGAUUAGAAUGUUACUUUUGCACAUAUACACAUUGAUUGGACCUCUCAACCAAAUUUCAUACCUUAUUUUAAGGAUUUUUAAGACAAUACAUUUUCAAAAGUUUGUUGAAUGUGUUUUGAUAUUUAAGUGCACUGUAGUUCAUGAAUACCAAGUUGAAAAUUAAUAAUGGCAACAUUUCUAGGCCCUUAUUGUAAGCCACUCGACUUCUGUAACGAUAAAUGUUUAAUGUAAUAAGGGGAAUAUACUCUUUUAGUUUUGGAAUAUGGCAUUCCUUGACCACCGUAUCUUUUGUUAUGCACUACUUUGUAAACAAACUAAAUAAUGUGUUUUAGCUUACA